AGUGAACUUAAGCCCCAGUAAACGGCGGCCGUAACUAUAACGGUCCUAAGGUAGCGAAAUUCCUUGUCGGGUAAGUUCCGACCCGCACGAAAGGCGUAACGAUUUGGGCACUGUCUCAACAACAGACUCGGUGAAAUUGUAAUUCCGGUGAAGAUGCCGGAUACCUGCGACAGGACGGAAAGACCCCAUGGAGCUUUACUGUAGCUUGACAUUGGGUCUUGGUACUACAUGUACAGGAUAGGUGGGAGGCUUUGAAACCAGGACGCCAGUUUUGGCGGAGCCAUCCUUGGGAUACCACCCUUGUAGUACUGGGACUCUAACCAUAGGCCAUGAAUCUGGUCUUGGGACACUGUCAGGUGGGCAGUUUGACUGGGGCGGUCGCCUCCCAAAAGGUAACGGAGGCGCUCAAAGGUUCUCUCAGUACGGUCGGAAAUCGUACGUAGAGUGUAAAGGCAAAAGAGAGCUUGAUUGCAAGACAUACAGGUCGAGCAAGGAUGAAAAUCGGACUUAGUGAUCCGGUGGUUCUGCGUGGAAGGGCCAUCGCUCAACGGAUAAAAGCUACCCUGGGGAUAACAGGCUUAUCUCCCCCAAGAGUCCACAUCGACGGGGAGGUUUGGCACCUCGAUGUCGGCUCAUCACAUCCUGGGGCUGUAGUAGGUCCCAAGGGUUGGGCUGUUCGCCCAUUAAAGUGGUACGCGAGCUGGGUUCAGAACGUCGUGAGACAGUUCGGUCCCUAUCCGUCGCAGGCGUAGGAAAUUUGAGAAGACCUGUCCUUAGUACGAGAGGACCGGGAUG
This 795-nucleotide ribosomal RNA is filed under the name Clostridioides difficile. Its description in RNAcentral is "partial 23S ribosomal RNA". It matches the Rfam family "Bacterial large subunit ribosomal RNA", at positions 1906 to 2699 of the family's 2925-position model. The record is from RNAcentral. Lineage: Bacteria; Bacillati; Bacillota; Clostridia; Peptostreptococcales; Peptostreptococcaceae.